AAAAGUGCCCUGCCCUCCACUGGCACCCUGCCCCUUUUGAUUUCUAGCUAGAGCACUGCAUAGUAUAUAUUUGGAAAAGACUGUAUAGUAUAUUGUAGGAAAAGACUAUCAGUAACAACAUUUAAUUAAAGUUUUUAGCACAAUAUUAUACUUCUAUUUAUAGAAUAGUAUUUUACUCCCAAAUGGGCCAAUGGUUUAAGAACAAAAC
Molecule: long non-coding RNA, 208 nt
Filed under: Mytilus galloprovincialis (Mediterranean mussel)
Lineage: Eukaryota; Metazoa; Mollusca; Bivalvia; Mytilida; Mytilidae
Source: RNAcentral